UACGGGGGGGGCAAGCGUUGUUCGGAAUUACUGGGCGUAAAGGGCUCGUAGGCGGCCAACUAAGUCAGACGUGAAAUCCCUCGGCUUAACCGGGGAACUGCGUCUGAUACUGGAUGGCUUGAGAUUGGGAGAGGGAUGCGGAAUUCCAGGUGUAGCGGUGAAAUGCGUAGAUAUCUGGAGGAACACCGGUGGCGAAGGCGGCCCUCUGGUCCAGUACUGACACUCAAGUGCGAAAGCGUGGGGAGCAAACAGG
This 253-nucleotide ribosomal RNA is filed under the name uncultured bacterium. RNAcentral describes it as "partial 16S ribosomal RNA". It matches the Rfam family "Bacterial small subunit ribosomal RNA", at positions 524 to 776 of the family's 1533-position model. The record is from RNAcentral.